GUGCGUGUAGAUUGAUGUUUAAAGAUUGUAAGGCUGUUAACCUUAAGGAGGUAUUUUUACCCGCGGACG
This 69-nucleotide transfer RNA is filed under the name Echinostoma caproni. Its description in RNAcentral is "tRNA-Asn". Lineage: Eukaryota; Metazoa; Platyhelminthes; Trematoda; Plagiorchiida; Echinostomatidae. The record is from RNAcentral.